This 72-nucleotide transfer RNA is filed under the name Mus musculus (house mouse). It matches the Rfam family "tRNA". Rfam says of the family: Transfer RNA (tRNA) molecules are approximately 80 nucleotides in length. Their secondary structure includes four short double-helical elements and three loops (D, anti-codon, and T loops). Further hydrogen bonds mediate the characteristic L-shaped molecular structure. tRNAs have two regions of fundamental functional importance: the anti-codon, which is responsible for specific mRNA codon recognition, and the 3' end, to which the tRNAs corresponding amino acid is attached (by aminoacyl-tRNA synthetases). tRNAs cope with the degeneracy of the genetic code in two manners: having more than one tRNA (with a specific anti-codon) for a particular amino acid; and 'wobble' base-pairing, i.e. permitting non-standard base-pairing at the 3rd anti-codon position. The record is from Rfam by way of RNAcentral. Lineage: Eukaryota; Metazoa; Chordata; Mammalia; Rodentia; Muridae.
AGAAAUAUAGCUUAUUGGUAGAGCACUUAUCUAGGGUUUGCCAGGUCCUGGGUUCAAUACCCAGUAUUGCCA